Molecule: ribosomal RNA, 749 nt
Filed under: uncultured bacterium
Lineage: Bacteria
Description: bacterial SSU rRNA
Rfam family: Bacterial small subunit ribosomal RNA
Source: RNAcentral
GCGAAAGUCCCCUUACGGGGGACAAGUAGAGUGGCGUCCGGGUGAGUAACACGUAGGUAAUCUACCUUCGGGUGGGGAAUAACGCAGGGAAACUUGCGCUAAUACCGCAUAAUGCAGCGGCACCACAUGGUGACAGUUGUUAAAGCGGGGGAUUUUCGAACCUCGCGCCUGAAGAGGAGCCUGCGGCAGAUUAGCUAGUUGGUAGGGUAACGGCUUACCAAGGCGACGAUCUGUAACCGGCCUGAGAGGGCGGUCGGUCACACUGACACUGACAUACGGGUCAGACUCCUACGGGAGGCAGCAGUCGGGAAUUUUGGGCAAUGGGCGAAAGCCUGACCCAGCAACGCCGCGUGAAGGAUGAAAUCCCUCGGGAUGUAAACUUCGCAAGAAUGGGAAGAAUUAGCGAGUAUUAAUACUGCUCGUGAUGACGGUACCAUUUGUAAGCUCCGGCUAACUCCGUGCCAGCAGCCGCGGUAAUACGGGGGGAGCAAGCGUUGUUCGGAUUUACUGGGCGUAAAGGGCGCGUAGGCGGUCAGCACAAGUCAGUUGUGAAAUCUCCGGGCUUAACUCGGAAAGGUCAACUGAUACUGUGCGACUAGAGUGCAGAAGGGGCAACUGGAAUUCUCGGUGUAGCGGUGAAAUGCGUAGAUAUCGAGAGGAACACUGCGGCGAAGGCGGGUUGCUGGGCUGACACUGACGCUGAUGCGCGAAAGCCAGGGGAGCGAACGGGAUUAGAUACCCCGGUAGUC